Small nucleolar RNA from Grammomys surdaster, 65 nucleotides. RefSeq annotates it as small nucleolar RNA SNORD73. NCBI's taxonomy places the organism in Eukaryota, Metazoa, Chordata, Mammalia, Rodentia, Muridae. The transcript has a single exon. The record is from RefSeq and is a predicted model, not a curated record.
AAUACGUGAUGAGAAAGUGUUUCUGUUCCAGUUGAUGACCACUGAUAACUCAUUUUUCUGAUGUU